RNAcentral lists this ribosomal RNA (1414 nucleotides) under metagenome. Its description in RNAcentral is "bacterial SSU rRNA". It matches the Rfam family "Bacterial small subunit ribosomal RNA". The record is from RNAcentral.
GGUGGCGAGUGGCGAACGGGUGAGUAAAGCAUCGGAACGUGUCCGGGAGUGGGGGAUAACGUAGCGAAAGUUACGCUAAUACCGCAUAUUCUCUGAGGAGGAAAGUGGGGGAUCGCAAGACCUCACGCUUUCGGAGCGGCCGAUGUCGGAUUAGCUAGUUGGUGGGGUAAAGGCCCACCAAGGCGACGAUCCGUAGCGGGUCUGAGAGUAUGAUCCGCCACACUGGGACUGAGACACGGCCCAGACUCCUACGGGAGGCAGCAGUGGGGAAUUUUGGACAAUGGGGGCAACCCUGAUCCAGCCGUGCCGCGUGAGUGAAGAAGGCCUUCGGGUUGUAAAGCUCUUUCGGCGGGGAAGAAAUCGCUUGGAUUAAUACUCUGAGUGGAUGACGGUACCCGAAUAAGAAGCACCGGCUAACUACGUGCCAGCAGCCGCGGUAAUACGUAGGGUGCGAGCGUUAAUCGGAAUUACUGGGCGUAAAGCGUGCGCAGGCGGUUGUGCAAGACAGGCGUGAAAUCCCCGGGCUUAACCUGGGAACUGCGCUUGUGACUGCACGGCUAGAGUACGGCAGAGGGGGGUGGAAUUCCACGUGUAGCAGUGAAAUGCGUAGAGAUGUGGAGGAACACCGAUGGCGAAGGCAGCCCCCUGGGCCAGUACUGACGCUCAUGCACGAAAGCGUGGGGAGCAAACAGGAUUAGAUACCCUAGUAGUCCACGCCCUAAACGAUGUCAACUAGUCGUUGGUAGGGUAAAACCUAUUAGUAGCGAAGCUAACGCGCGAAGUUGACCGCCUGGGGAGUACGGCCGCAAGGUUAAAACUCAAAGGAAUUGACGGGGACCCGCACAAGCGGUGGAUGAUGUGGAUUAAUACGAUGCAACGCGAAAAACCUUACCUACCCUUGACAUGUCAGGAAUCCCGCUGAGAGGUGGGAGUGCCCGAAAGGGAGCCUGAACACAGGUGCUGCAUGGCUGUCGUCAGCUCGUGUCGUGAGAUGUUGGGUUAAGUCCCGCAACGAGCGCAACCCUUGUCAUUAAUUGCCAUCAUUCAGUUGGGCACUUUAAUGAGACUGCCGGUGACAAACCGGAGGAAGGUGGGGAUGACGUCAAGUCCUCAUGGCCCUUAUGGGUAGGGCUUCACACGUCAUACAAUGGUCGGUACAGAGGGUUGCCAAGCCGCGAGGUGGAGCCAAUCCCAGAAAGCCGAUCGUAGUCCGGAUCGCAGUCUGCAACUCGACUGCGUGAAGUCGGAAUCGCUAGUAAUCGCGGAUCAGCAUGUCGCGUGAAUACGUUCCCGGGUCUUGUACACACCGCCGUCACACCAUGGGAGCGGGUUCUGCCAGAAGUAGCUAGUCUAACCGCAAGGGGGACGGUUACCACGGCAGGGUUCGUGACUGGGGUGAAGUCGUAACAAGGUA